GCCGAGUUAGCUCAGUUGGUAGAGCACUUCCAUGGUAAGGAAGGGGUCAUCGGUUCGAGUCCGAUACUCGGCU
RNAcentral lists this transfer RNA (73 nucleotides) under Thermoleophilia bacterium. Its description in RNAcentral is "tRNA-Thr". It matches the Rfam family "tRNA". Rfam says of the family: Transfer RNA (tRNA) molecules are approximately 80 nucleotides in length. Lineage: Bacteria; Bacillati; Actinomycetota; Thermoleophilia. RNAcentral also lists the same sequence under 2 other names. The record is from RNAcentral.